RNAcentral lists this long non-coding RNA (1038 nucleotides) under Bos indicus x Bos taurus (hybrid cattle). RNAcentral's name for it is "lncRNA (ENSBIXG00000028578.1)". Lineage: Eukaryota; Metazoa; Chordata; Mammalia; Artiodactyla; Bovidae. The record is from RNAcentral.
UUCACACCCUUCAUUUCACCACCUACGAGUUCUUCUCUUUGGUGCUGCCUUCUUCCACGAGUGACUAAGGGCUGGGAGGUCGAGCGGCUGAGGCUAGGAGCAUCACAGAGCUGGGGCUGCUGCAGGGGCAGGAUACAGGGUUGAGCCAGCACUCACCUGAAUGGGGGCCAAGUGGCUGCUGGAACCAGCAUCUUCAGGAAAGACAGGCGAGAACCACAGUGGCUGGUCUGCAGCCAGAAUACCUGGCCAUAGAGUGGAUGAAGGAAGGGAUCCAAGACGGGAAACUAAGUGACCUACGGGAAGUUUGCAGAGGCCAUUGGAGAGGAUGGCAAGUCUGGAGGAAUUUCCUGGGCUGGUUUGGAUACUUGUGAUGCUUUGGAAGAAUUGCCUGAGGCCUCCUUCAGGGAUGGAGGAGAUCAGUAAAGGGAUUAAUUUAUACACAGGAUGGUUAGAACCUCUUUUGUGAGCUUCUAUGCUAUGGUACACUAGAUCUGCCUGCAAUAACAAACAACAGGGAGCAGCCCAGAUCUCAGUUCCUGACGGGCUCCGUGGUGGGAGAGAGAACAAACGUUACAAAAAGCCAGCCCAGGCUAGGGCCGUGUUUAACAAGGAGCAAGCUCAUUCCAGUGGACGGAGCCUUGAAUGUUCUCCAGCAGCUGCGGGUCUGGAGGGCUCAACAAUAAGUCCUUCCAAGAGGAGGUCAUGCACUUUGGUAGAUGUUACCCCAGGUACUCUAUCCUGCUCCCAGAGGCUAAUGAACGGUGAGAGGAGGUGAUGGGGAGAUGCUGGGGGCACAGAGCGAAGAAAGGUUCGAGUAGUAUCAGGAAGGAGUCAGCGACCAAGGCUCUAAACCACCAUGCUUUCAGGUUGGACCUGGGCUCUGCAACUGGCUCGUGACCUUGAGCAAGUUCAUUAAUCACAUGCACUGAGCUUCAGUUCUCAUCUUGCUUGUGGGAAAUGGAAGGAAAUCCCUAUUGAAAACAGACGGUGAACUGAGACAUUUCAAAUAUGAUAGCCACAGAUACACGGAAGUACUGC